CACGCACCGGGAGAGACGCGCGGACGCAGACACCCACAGAGACACAAGCCGACCCCCCUCAGAUCCGCCCUGGUUUGCGCUUUAUUUGUGCCUCUCUCUCCGACGCCUCCUCCCUCCAGGCCCUCUGAAUUUUCCUUUCGCGUUUGCAGGGUUUGGCCGUCGUCAUGUCCUCGCUGAUUCGAUGCACCGAUGACCUCCUCCAUCAGAAGGCCGUGCAGUCGUCGCACUACGAGCGGUUGGAGCGUCAGCUGUUGGACGGAGAGCGGUGCCGCCGUGCUGCCGUCUUGGCACUGCGGCAGCGAGUUGCAGAUGUGAAGCGGCGCGGCAAGGACGUCGUCGACCUCCGCCGCGAAAACCACCAACUGGCGGAUCAACUCGCUCAGCACGCGCUUCAGCUUGCCGCGCUGCAGUGCCGCAACGCCGAGUCGAAGAAGAGAGAGAGCGCUGCGGUGGAGCAACUGCAGGAUGGCAUACGAAGCUUUUCGGGCCAUCCAGCACGCAUCGCCCUUCUUGUGCAGGCCCUGCAGGCUCAGAAGCAGCUGCACUGCGCUGGCAGGCGCUUCUCGAACGAACUCCAGAUGCUCUGGGGUUUACUGUGCGUGCGGAGGCGAGCGCUGGUUUUUGUGGCGCAUUCGACACGGGUGCUCAGCGUGCACGCCGCCUUGCAUGUACGGCUGACGAGUGCGCUGCGCGACCGCGUGACGCGGUGCUCGGAGAUGCGUGAGGCGGCUGGCCGCCGCACCGAAAUCGCAACAGCUGCGCGUGUGGACCGCGUGAUUUCAGAUCAGCAGGCGGCGGAGCGACUGCUUCUCAGUGUAAACGCUGAAGCGGGUCUUCUGAGCGUGUACGCUGAGGCUCUGGAUGGCGCUUGCGGAGCAGCCGAGGAGGAGGUUGCCGCGCUUUCAGCCGCGAUCGACAAGUGUGAUGAGCGGCUGUCGGCGAUUCGUAGGACGCUGCAAGAGAACGAAGCGGCGGUGGCCGAGGCAAAACGCUCUUUGACGGCACAGCAGACAGCGCACGCCGAGGCGUCGACGCUACACGAGAUGCAAGUGGUGCGGGCUGCAGAAGAGCUCUCCGCUGCGGCGGCCGACGAGGAAGCAGCCAACUCACACGCAGAGGAGCUGCAGCGCUCGGUGCAGGUCGCUGAGCAGGACACUGAGCUUCUUGCGCGCCGAGUGUACGCCUUGGCAUUUCUCCUCCUUCUCUGCGAGCAGGAACAGCUGCGGCUGUCACGGCAGUGCGCUGAGCAGGCGGAGGAGAAGGCGAAGACUGAGCUGGAGCUCGCGCAACUGCGCAGAUGGCAUGAAGAGCGGCUGGAGCGGCUGCGUGCCUCGCGAGCAGCGGCGGCGAACCGUGCCGCACGAGAUGCGCUGUUAUCAAAGGAAGCGCACGACCGCAAAGCCACGCUGGAUCUCGAGAGGGAUGAGUGGAGACUGCUGUACGCGCAGUUGGUGCGCGACGCCUGCCGUGCAAGGGCUGAGGCCUCGGCCGCUGCGGCCGCCGCGCCAGUCGCCAAAAGGGCGCGACGUGCGCCGGUGGCGGGCGGGAGAGAGGCAGUGGAGCGAGUGCUAAGUGCGCGUCCUCCGCGACGCAAGCGAGCGCGUGCGGAGGGGAGGCCACACGUCACCGCAACGGCCGCGUCGCGUCGACAACGGUCUGCGCUGGAGGCGGUGGACGCGUUGAAUCUGGCAUCGUCACAGCACAGCAGCAUCGGCUACCUCACGACCACGCCCGCGUGUGAGGAGGCUGCAGCGGCAGAGUUGACGUCACAGCAACACAGAAGCGGUGCUGCACACGUGAUGGCUAACAUGCACGCAACACCACUGCCCCCAUCCACGGCCUCGUCUACCCUGCGCCUGUCGUAUCGGCUUACUUCCGUGAAGCCUGCUGCAGUGGCGAAGAAACCGAUACGAGCGCCGCCAGCGGUUCCAGAGUCUCUGAACCCGGUGCCUGAUAAGAAGCGAAAGGCUGAUGCAAGAGUCACAGCUGCCGCUGGUGAUGUGCAGCACACUCCAACAACGGCAGCGGCGCACGCAUCGGCCAUUUCGCCUUUCACUUCCGCAGUAGGGGAAGAGUCCUCGGACUCGAGCUUCUCCUUGGUGAGGAACCGAAAGAGUGCUGCCGCCGAGGCCGACACCGGGAGCGACAUCUCCGACGUCCGACUGUACUCUCCAUCGCCCUCCCCGCGAUGCCCGCCCGGCAGACACGCAGCUGCUGGUCCACCUACGGCCGCCGCGCACCCUCUUCCCAGGCCUGUUCGCCGACAGGGAUGUGGCGAGGCUGCCUUGGCAACCGCCCAUCGCGUUUCCGGCAGCGCUUUGGCUUCUGCGCUGGCCGCCUGCACACCGCGCAGCACCGCCAUCGGCGGCAGUGGCGACCGCACAUCUGCCCACUCUUCUUCUUUUCCGUCCCAUUUCACGGGGAACUUCGCGGCGCUACCGGGCGUGCGCGGCGGGACGCGGCUGCCCCACAAGUCGAAGGCGGUGCGGCUGCCACGGCGCCGUGCGCCCCUUCUGGCGGCAGCUGCCGCGGACCUCGGUGAGGACCUCUUCGCUGACAUGUUCUUAUGAACCCCUUCUCUUCGUCCCACAGCCCACACGUGCCGUGAAGUGGUGGCGUGCGUGCGGGCUGUGGGGCGGUUUCUGUAGGCCAGUGCUGUUCCCAUCCGCACGCUCGAUAGUGUAGUGGGUCUCUGUCACCGCUGCCACGUGCUCUCCCUCCUUAUUAAGUUUUCACCCUGCUGCUAUCUGCUAUACACGCCUCCCUAACUCCUCGUUGUUUUACAAAUCCCUUCGCCUCUCGUGCGUGCUGUUCUGGACGUCAUUGGUGCCUGCUUGCGUGCGUGUGUGCGUGUGCGUACUCUCUAGCGAAGGUACGUGUGCCUGCCGUGCCUUGAAUCUUGACCGUACAGAUACGCGCACAUGCGCACGCACGCACUGCAGUACCGGGUUCUCGAUCCACUUUCACUCUCUGUUUUCCGUGCUCGCCUCUUGCAUCACGCGAUGGCCAAGCACUAGCGAAAUCCCACGCGGUGCAACU
This 3039-nucleotide unclassified non-coding RNA is filed under the name Leishmania donovani. RNAcentral's name for it is "gene:LdHU3.14.1710(CDS-product:hypothetical_prote in_conserved)". Lineage: Eukaryota; Euglenozoa; Kinetoplastea; Trypanosomatida; Trypanosomatidae. The record is from RNAcentral.